Molecule: long non-coding RNA, 919 nt
Organism: Oncorhynchus tshawytscha (Chinook salmon)
Lineage: Eukaryota; Metazoa; Chordata; Actinopteri; Salmoniformes; Salmonidae
Source: Ensembl
CACGGUGCCACUGACGCAGCCUGCUCCCAAGGACUGUGGGUUCUCAUUCUCCGUGGCCGACCUAAGACAUUUUAAGCGUGUUAACCCCCGCCAGGCAGACGGCAUCCCUUGCAGCGUCCUCAGAGCAUGCGCAGACCAUCUGGCUGGAGUGUUUACAGAUAUAUUCAAUCUCCCUAUCCCAGUCUGCUGUCCCCACUUGCUUCAAGAUGUCCACCAUUGUUCCUGUACCCAAGAAAGCAAAGAUCCACAGACGAUGCAAUCACACUGCCCUAACCCAUCUGGACAAGAGGAAUACCUACGACAUUGACCCCAAAACACACCUUCGGGCUGUGUAAGGGCUAUUUGACCAAGAAGGAGAGUGAUGGAGCGCUGCAUCAGAUGACCUGGCAUCCACAAUCACCAAACCUCAACCCAAUUGAGACGGUUCGGGAUGAGUUGGACGGCAGAGCGAAGGAAAAGCGGCCAACAAGUGCUCAGCAUAUGUGGAACUCGAAGACGGUUGGAAAAGCAUUCCAGGUGACUACCUCAUGAGACUGGUUGAGAGAAUGCCAAGAGUGUGCAAAGCUGUCAUCAAGGAAAAGGGUGGCUACUUUUAAGAAUAUCAAAUAUUUUGAAUUGUUAAACCUUUUUUUUUUAACAAUAUGAUUCUAUGUGUUAUUUCAUAGUGUUGUCGUCUUCUACAAUGUUGAAAAUAGUCCAAAUUAAGAAACUGUUGAAUGAGUAGGUGUGUCCAAAUUUUUGACUGGUACCGUAUUAUUUCUUAGUUCCAUUAUUUUACUUUUAGAUGUGUGUAUUGUUGUGAAUUGUUAGAUACUACUGCACUGUUAGAGCUAGGAACACAAGUAUUUCACUACACCCGCAAUAACAUCUGCUAAAAAUGUAUGUGACCAAUAACAUUUGAGUUGAAACCUCAUUAACC